RNAcentral lists this ribosomal RNA (468 nucleotides) under uncultured bacterium. RNAcentral describes it as "partial 16S ribosomal RNA". It matches the Rfam family "Bacterial small subunit ribosomal RNA", at positions 28 to 507 of the family's 1533-position model. The record is from RNAcentral.
GACGAACGCUGGCGGCGUGCUUAACACAUGCAAGUCGAACGGAAAGGCCCUGCUUUUGUGGGGUGCUCGAGUGGCGAACGGGUGAGUAACACGUGAGUAACCUGCCCUUGACUUUGGGAUAACUUCAGGAAACUGGGGCUAAUACCGGGUAGGAGCUCCUGCUGCAUGGUGGGGGUUGGAAAGAUUCGGCGGUUGGGGAUGGACUCGCGGCUUAUCAGCUUGUUGGUGGGGUAGUGGCUUACCAAGGCUUUGACGGGUAGCCGGCCUGAGAGGGUGACCGGCCACAUUGGGACUGAGAUACGGCCCAGACUCCUACGGGAGGCAGCAGUGGGGAAUAUUGCACAAUGGGCGGAAGCCUGAUGCAGCAACGCCGCGUGCGGGAUGACGGCCUUCGGGUUGUAAACCGCUUUCGCCUGUGACGAAGCGUGAGUGACGGUAAUGGGUAAAGAAGCACCGGCUAACUACGUG